UACGUAGGGUGCAAGCGUUAUUCGGAUUUACUGGGCGUAAAGAGUGUGUAGGCGGCUUUGUAAGUUGGAUGUUAAAUCUGUGGGCUCAACCCGCAGGCUGCAUCCAAAACUGCAAGGCUUGAGAGUGGAAGAGGCAGAUGGAAUUCCUAGUGGAGCGGUUAAAUGCGUAGAUAUUAGGAGGAACACCAAUGGCGAAGGCAGUCUGCUGGGCCAUUUCUGACGCUGAGACACGAAAGCGUGGGGAGCGAUCGGG
RNAcentral lists this ribosomal RNA (253 nucleotides) under uncultured bacterium. Its description in RNAcentral is "partial 16S ribosomal RNA". It matches the Rfam family "Bacterial small subunit ribosomal RNA", at positions 524 to 776 of the family's 1533-position model. The record is from RNAcentral.